This 251-nucleotide non-coding RNA is filed under the name Gottschalkia purinilytica. RNAcentral describes it as "Clostridium purinilyticum T-box sequence". It matches the Rfam family "T-box leader". Rfam says of the family: Uncharged tRNA acts as the effector for transcription antitermination of genes in the T-box leader family. T-boxes are found upstream of many aminoacyl-tRNA synthetase genes and some amino acid biosynthetic genes usually in Gram-positive bacteria. Lineage: Bacteria; Bacillati; Bacillota; Tissierellia; Tissierellales; Gottschalkiaceae. The record is from RNAcentral.
AUAUUUGCUAAGAUGGAGAAUGGUAUUUUAUGUUUAACAGUUCAAGAGAGUUGACGUUUGGUGAAAGUCAAUACUGUGCAAAAAUACAGAUCACUCCUGAGCUAUAUCUUUGAACGUAAAAAUAACUUUUUACUAUUAGAAGAUAUCGACUAGUCUCGUUAACGACUUAGGUUUGCUGGAACUGAAAAAGGGAUAUUCAUUUUUUAAUGAAUAUAAUCAAGGUGGUACCGCGAGUUAUGCUCGUCCUUGAA